AUGCAUGACCAUAUCCUAGCGUCGCGGCCCCGCUCCGCCAUCUCCGACAUCAUAAUGUACGGCUCUUCCUACAUCGCGUUCGCACCAUAUGGCGAGUACUGGCGGCAUGCGAGGAAGCUCGUCACCACCCACAUGCUGAGCGUUAAAAAGGUUCAAUCUUUCCGCAGCGACAGGAUGGAGGAGGUCAGCAUGGCGAUGGCAAAGAUCAACGAGGCAGCCACAACCAGUGGUACAGUCGACACGAGCGAGCUACUCAACUCAUUCUCAAAUGACAUGGCGUCCCGUAUCGUGUCGGGCAAGUUCUUCCUGAAAGAUGGACGGAGCAAGUUGUUUCGGGAACUCAUCAACGAUACCUCGCGGCUUUUGGGCGGGUUCAACUUGGAGGAGUACUUCCCAGCAUUGGGUAGGGCAGGAGUGCUUAAGAGGGCAGUUUGUGCCAAGGCCGAAAGAGUGAGGAACAGAUGGGCUGAUCUGUUGGACAAGGUGAUCGACGAUCGUGUGAGCAAGCGCAAGUCAGCGUUUGAUCACAAGGAUGGGGAUUUUGUGGAUAUUUUGCCAUCUAUUCAGCCGGAGUAUGAUCUCACAAGAGAGCACAUGAAAGCUCUUCUCACAGAUGUAUUUUUCGGUGCAACAGACACNNNNNNNNNNUCAGCUAACGUCCUCGAAUUCACUUUGGCUGAGCUCAUGAGGAAGCCACACUUCAUGGGGAAGCUACAAGACGAAGUGAGGAGUAUCAUACCCGGGGGACAAGAAAUUGUGAGCCAAUCUGACAUGAACAACAUGGUGUACCUAAGAGCAGUAAUAAAAAAGCCUCUCAGGUUGUAUCCUGUUGCGCCUCUCCUUGCUCCGCACCUUGCCAUGGCUGAUUGUACCAUCCAUGGAUACAUGGUUCCUGCUGGAACUCGUGUCGUCAUAAAUGCAUGGGCCGUUGGGAGGGAUUCGAGCUCUUGGGAGGGUGCGGAAGAGUUCAUACCUGAAAGAUUUACAGAUAAAGGCACCGCUACGAAUGUCAAUUUCAAGGGGAAUGAUUUCCAGUUCUUGCCGUUCGGGCCCGGACGAAGGAUAUGCCCUGGUAUAAACCUCGGAAUCGCAAAUGUCGAAUUUAUGUUAGCAAACCUCGUGAACCAUUUUGAUUGGGAACUUCCGGUUGGGGUUGAGAGAAAAAAUAUCUAUAUGACAGAGGUGUUUGGGCUAACCGUUCGCAGGAAGGAGAAACUAUUGUUGAUUCCAAAAUCACGCAUGUAA
Molecule: ribosomal RNA, 1245 nt
Filed under: Triticum aestivum (bread wheat)
Lineage: Eukaryota; Viridiplantae; Streptophyta; Magnoliopsida; Poales; Poaceae
Description: partial small subunit ribosomal RNA
Source: RNAcentral